RNAcentral lists this unclassified non-coding RNA (2020 nucleotides) under Ixodes scapularis (black-legged tick). RNAcentral describes it as "ankyrin repeat and SAM domain-containing protein 6, transcript variant X5". Lineage: Eukaryota; Metazoa; Arthropoda; Arachnida; Ixodida; Ixodidae. The record is from RNAcentral.
UGCCAUCACUAUCCAAUCCAAUCACGCAGUGUCGCCAGUGUCGCGCGGCGGCGCGAUUUUAGGAAGUUGUACUGAAAGUUUAAUGCGACGCGGACAGCAAAGUUUUUGCUCUGCCUUAGUUCUAAUUACGCUCCAAUUUCUCAAAUAGUGUACUGUGCAGUAGGUAGCGUCCAGAAGCAGCUGUAGCGCUAUCAAUGCUACGGGUACAUGCACGACCGAAGCCUCCUGUGGUAGAGUGACAACAGCCAUCCAAUGGACGAGAUGGAAAAGUUUCUAACGGCAUGCGUCACGAAUAGCAUAACGGCAGCGCGGAAUCUUCUGUUAAACGGAAUUCCCAUCAAUGGUCAAGACGUCGAAGGCAUAUCCGGCCUGCAUGUUGCAGCAGCAAAUGGCCACGUCAGUUUGGCAGAGCUCCUUCUUGAGGAAGGGGCAGACAUCGAUGUGGCAAACAACUGUGGCUGGACACCACUCAUGCAUGCAGCUCAGCAUGGGCAGGUGUCCAUGGUGUCGCUGCUGAUCAGGCACAGUGCAAACAUCAAUGCAACAAAUGUCUUAGGUGCAGGUGCCCUAACACUGGCAGCUGGUGGCGGUCACCAUUCCACCGUGCGUCUCCUUUUAGAGGCUGGGGCAGACAUUGCCGUGGGCAGAUUCCACCACACCUUUGAUCCCAUGCCCCUGACAGCUGCCGCCACCAACGGCCACGCCUCCAUCAUUUUGCUGCUUCUUCAGAAAGGCUGUCCCGUGAAUCAGGCAUACCCCACCACUGGCACGACUGCCCUCAUGCUGUGUGCGGCUGGUGGACAUCUCCAGGCAGCUCAGGCCCUGGUUGAACACGGCGCCGACCCAGACCUCAAGGAUAUGUGCGGCAAGACUGCCCUUGAUAUUGCGGUGGCCUGUACAAAAAUGGAGGUAGCUGAAUUCCUUCGUACCAAGACACAGGUGGCACAUAGCCCAGAACAAAACCCAACCAUCAACGACAUGCUUGAUGCCAUUGGAAAAACUGACUUGAAGUGGAUUAACGAAAUGCUCAAGGAGUACCCUUCGAGUGCCAACUGGACUCAUCCUAUCAAGGGAACCACUCCCCUAAUGUAUGCAGCAGAGUUGGGUCACCUGGACAUAGCUGCACUCUUGGUUCACAACAGUGCAGACAUCGAGCUACAGGACUAUUCUUCUGGGUGGACGGCUCUGAUGCAUGCUGUAUUUCAUGGGCAGACAAGCAUUGUCCGUUAUCUCGUCACUGUGGGAGCCAGUGUUGACGCUCUGGCUUGCAAUGGUGCAACCGCUCUUGACAUCGCUUGUUACAAUGAAAACAUGGAUGCCAGAAUUAGGCAAAUAUUGACUGACAAAGCUGUGGGGCAAAGCUUGCCUCGAGAACCAGCGGUGAUGGUACCUACCGACCCAGGGCACACCAAAGAGCCUCUUGAAUUGCAGCCACCCAAAGGACUGAAGGGUUGGAUUGGACAGGUAACACAAAAGCUUACUCAACUCACAGUCAAGCAGUCGGGGCCCUCAACACCGGGCAUGGCAGUGCCGUCUACAAUCCCUGUAACUCCAAAUCUGCAAUCGCUAAGCCUGUCACCAAUCAGGCCCUGUGCAAUACCAGUUCUGAACAUCUGCUUUGCAGCAGCCCCUGCUUCUUCUUUCCAAACAAGUACUCUUGCUCCAGUUGUGCUUCAGGACCUCUUGGAAAAAAAGACCGCCUUCUCGCCAAUAAUGUCAUCAGCACCAGCGUGCCAUUCGGACUGGGUUACACAAAAACUCUGGGAACCAAAACACCUCAUUCAUCCUCUCAUGAGAUCCAAUCUUGGCCAAGCAUAUCUCUGUAAGUCUUCAGUAUGAAGCUUUUAACAGUAUGGAGUUGAAUUCUCUGUAUAUCUUGUACGACUUUUUCAUAGUAUCACAAAUCACGUGGAUCUCUACAGUGCAUAAACAAGCAACGUCCACCUUGUUAAAGAAAGGCACAUCCGUCCUGAAUUGCUCCAGCUACCCCGAUACCAACAAGCUGUCUGAUUGCCAAUCA